GCCCGACACACAAAACAAGCGGUGAGUGCUUUGGGGUGGGGUGACUGCGUACCUUUUGUAUAAUGGGUCAGCGACUUAUAUUCUGUAGCAAGGUUAACCGUAUAGGGGAGCCGGAGGGAAACCGAGUCUUAACUGGGCGUUAAGUUGCAGGGUAUAGACCCGAAACCCGGUGAUCUAGCCAUGGGCAGGUUGAAGGUUGGGUAACACUAACUGGAGGACCGAACCGACUAAUGUUGAAAAAUUAGCGGAUGACCUGUGGCUGGGGGUGAAAGGCCAAUCAAACCGGGAGAUAGCUGGUUCUCCCCGAAAGCUAUUUAGGUAGCGCCUCGUGAAUUCAUCUCCGGGGGUAGAGCACUGUUUCGGCUAGGGGGUCAUCCCGACUUACCAACCCGAUGCAAACUGCGAAUACCGGAGAAUGUUAUCACGGGAGACACACGGCGGGUGCUAACGUCCGUCGUGAAGAGGGAAACAACCCAGACCGCCAGCUAAGGUCCCAAAGUCAUGGUUAAGUGGGAAACGAUGUGGGAAGGCCCAGACAGCCAGGAUGUUGGCUUAGAAGCAGCCAUCAUUUAAAGAAAGCGUAAUAGCUCACUGGUCGAGUCGGCCUGCGCGGAAGAUGUAACGGGGCUAAACCAUGCACCGAAGCUGCGGCAGCGACACUGUGUGUUGUUGGGUAGGGGAGCGUUCUGUAAGCCUGUGAAGGUGGCCUGUGAGGGUUGCUGGAGGUAUCAGAAGUGCGAAUGCUGACAUAAGUAACGAUAAAGCGGGUGAAAAGCCCGCUCGCCGGAAGACCAAGGGUUCCUGUCCAACGUUAAUCGGGGCAGGGUGAGUCGACCCCUAAGGCGAGGCCGAAAGGCGUAGUCGAUGGGAAACGGGUUAAUAUUCCCGUACUUGGUGUUACUGCGAAGGGGGGACGGAGAAGGCUAUGUUGGCCGGGCGACGGUUGUCCCGGUUUAAGCGUGUAGGUGUGUGUUCCAGGUAAAUCCGGUUCACUUUAACACUGAGGCGUGACGACGAGGCACUACGGUGCUGAAGCAACAAAUGCCCUGCUUCCAGGAAAAGCCUCUAAGCAUCAGGUAACAUCAAAUCGUACCCCAAACCGACACAGGUGGUCAGGUAGAGAAUACCAAGGCGCUUGAGAGAACUCGGGUGAAGGAACUAGGCAAAAUGGUGCCGUAACUUCGGGAGAAGGCACGCUGACACGUAGGUGAAGUGAUUUACUCACGGAGCUGAAGUCAGUCGAAGAUACCAGCUGGCUGCAACUGUUUAUUAAAAACACAGCACUGUGCAAACACGAAAGUGGACGUAUACGGUGUGACGCCUGCCCGGUGCCGGAAGGUUAAUUGAUGGGGUCAGCGCAAGCGAAGCUCCUGAUCGAAGCCCCGGUAAACGGCGGCCGUAACUAUAACGGUCCUAAGGUAGCGAAAUUCCUUGUCGGGUAAGUUCCGACCUGCACGAAUGGCGUAAUGAUGGCCAGGCUGUCUCCACCCGAGACUCAGUGAAAUUGAACUCGCUGUGAAGAUGCAGUGUACCCGCGGCAAGACGGAAAGACCCCGUGAACCUUUACUAUAGCUUGACACUGAACAUUGAGCCUUGAUGUGUAGGAUAGGUGGGAGGCUUUGAAGCGUGGACGCCAGUCUGCGUGGAGCCGACCUUGAAAUACCACCCUUUAAUGUUUGAUGUUCUAACGUGGACCCGUGAUCCGGGUUGCGGACAGUGUCUGGUGGGUAGUUUGACUGGGGCGGUCUCCUCCUAAAGAGUAACGGAGGAGCACGAAGGUUGGCUAAUCCUGGUCGGACAUCAGGAGGUUAGUGCAAUGGCAUAAGCCAGCUUGACUGCGAGCGUGACGGCGCGAGCAGGUGCGAAAGCAGGUCAUAGUGAUCCGGUGGUUCUGAAUGGAAGGGCCAUCGCUCAACGGAUAAAAGGUACUCCGGGGAUAACAGGCUGAUACCGCCCAAGAGUUCAUAUCGACGGCGGUGUUUGGCACCUCGAUGUCGGCUCAUCACAUCCUGGGGCUGAAGUAGGUCCCAAGGGUAUGGCUGUUCGCCAUUUAAAGUGGUACGCGAGCUGGGUUUAGAACGUCGUGAGACAGUUCGGUCCCUAUCUGCCGUGGGCGCUGGAGAACUGAGGGGGGCUGCUCCUAGUACGAGAGGACCGGAGUGGACGCAUCACUGGUGUUCGGGUUGUCAUGCCAAUGGCACUGCCCGGUAGCUAAAUGCGGAAGAGAUAAGUGCUGAAAGCAUCUAAGCACGAAACUUGCCCCGAG
RNAcentral lists this ribosomal RNA (2266 nucleotides) under Salmonella enterica. RNAcentral's name for it is "partial 23S ribosomal RNA". It matches the Rfam family "Bacterial large subunit ribosomal RNA". The record is from RNAcentral. Lineage: Bacteria; Pseudomonadati; Pseudomonadota; Gammaproteobacteria; Enterobacterales; Enterobacteriaceae.